This 391-nucleotide ribosomal RNA is filed under the name Excirolana braziliensis. RNAcentral's name for it is "partial 16S ribosomal RNA". It matches the Rfam family "Bacterial large subunit ribosomal RNA", at positions 1996 to 2620 of the family's 2925-position model. The record is from RNAcentral. Lineage: Eukaryota; Metazoa; Arthropoda; Malacostraca; Isopoda; Cirolanidae.
AAGUACCGACGAGGAGAAACUGACUCAGCCUUAAACAGUGAACCUUAACCUAGGGUAAAAAUGCCCCAAUAGUCUAGAAGGACGACAAGACCCUAUAAAACUUUACCACUUCACCCUACCCCUAAAAGUAACCUUUUAAGGGCUUAGUGGUUAGCUGGGGCGGCCAACCCCCUCCGGGGGACACCUUAACACCUUGUGUGAUCCUCAAGAACCCUACUUAGAAGCAAGACCAAGUUACUUUAGGGAUAACAGCGUAAUUGUUUUGUAGAGCCCCUAUCGAUAAAGCAGUUUACGACCUCGAUGUUGAAUUGGAGUACCCCUUGGGAGCAGCCCCUCAAAGGGGAAGUCUGUUCGACUUUUAACCCUCCACAUGAUGUGAGUUCAGACCGGA